Molecule: ribosomal RNA, 519 nt
Filed under: uncultured eukaryote
Lineage: Eukaryota
Description: bacterial SSU rRNA
Rfam family: Eukaryotic small subunit ribosomal RNA
Source: RNAcentral
AGGGCACCACCAGGAGUGGAGCCUGCGGCUUAAUUUGACUCAACACGGGAAAACUCACCCGGCCCGGACACUGUAAGGAUUGACAGACUGAGAGCUCUUUCUUAAUUCGGUGGGUGGUGGUGCAUGGCCGUUCUUAGUUGGUGGAGCGAUUUGUCUGGUUAAUUCCGAUAACGAACGAGACUCUGGCCUAUUAAAUAGACGGUGUAUCUUGAAUGAUCCCGCGCUUCUUCCAGGGGCAUGUGCCGCCUACGCCCAGGAAAUACAGAAUAAUCAAGCUUGUGAUCCCCCUUUAUGUCCGGGGAUCUCCCCGCGCGCCACACUGAAAAUACCAGUGCGCGUUUUCUGGUGCGCAAGAAUGCGUGAGAUGGCUGAAAUUCUUCCGUGCUGCGGGGAGGGAGAAGUUGUUAUUAUUCUCCAAAAACGAGUUCCUGCCAGGAGCUGGUCAUAACCUCCCGUUGAUGACUUCCCUGCUCUUUGUAGACACCACCGGUCGCUGCUACUACUUGAAGGACUUAUUGA